RNAcentral lists this long non-coding RNA (1111 nucleotides) under Homo sapiens (human). RNAcentral describes it as "novel transcript". Lineage: Eukaryota; Metazoa; Chordata; Mammalia; Primates; Hominidae. The record is from RNAcentral.
GGCGCUCGCUGAUUGGCCAUCCGUGCAGGCAGGUGCGGUCUGGCACCUCGGGAUCCCAACGGGUGGCCGCCUGCGUGGCUGCCUGCCUCACCUCAGCCAAAUAUAAGUCUUAACGUUACAUCUGCAAUGGAAAAACAAGUCAAACUCAGCAAAAAGGAGCCCUGAAGAGACAGAGUUAAGUGCUUCCGUGAUGAGAGUAGAGUUGGCCUAUGCUGUCCCUCCCAGGACUCCUUUACCCAAGAGAAAGAGAGAGUGUGCAUCCAAAGGGGAGUGAAAAUAGAAUAUAAAUAGGGAAAAUAGAACCAUUCAGAGCAGUUCAGGGAUCUUUACUACUCUGACAUGGAAGGAAGAAGGAGGAGAAGAGAAAAGAUGAACGGACCUUGAACCUGGGAUAUCGCUCAUGUGACUGCUACAUUGGUAUUAAGAUACAGCAUUCAUGUGCCCUGGAAUGUUUUGUUCUAUUAGGUGCUACACCCAGUAGAACAGUGCUCCAUCCAAUGCAAUUUUCUGGAAUUUAAACAAUCCAGACCAGAAUUUUUCCUCCUUGGAGAUGGAAUGUCUUGCUCCAGAGGGAGGAGGAAGAAGAGAAAAGAGAAGUCUCAACCAGCCUCCUCUCUACCCCACACAGAGAAUAGAGAUGCAAAACUUCUCCCAUAGAGUGUUUCAGCUUCUUCCUCGUUCCUCUUGCUUCUUUUCUCUUGGGAUAAUGACUUGGGUUUGGCCAGUAUGUAAAGUUGACUUGUGGUACCUCUGGCUCUUCUCCAGGGGUGCUCACAGAAAUAACUACAGUGGACUAGAAUGAGAUGCUUGAAACCUUCCCCCGAGCCUAGCUCUGCAUUUAGGAGAACAGCACAGCGCACCAUGAUCUGAUAUAGGUAUAGGUGGGUGGGAGUCUCAGUCUGUAGUUCUAUAUCACCUAUUAAGAGACUGGAACCUGGUCCCAUGUUUUCUGCAGGAGGUUGAGCUCUUAACAAUGUGCCAAGCCAGCAGCUGUGCCCUAGAGUCUUGGCCUAAGACAAGCAAAUAAUUGUCAGAUGACUGAAUAGUUCUGUUUCCUUAUUAAAUCUUAGGUUUAGAAUUCCUUUCACAAUUAAAAAGAUUUGGACAACAA